ACUCCUACGGGAGGCAGCAGUGGGAAUAUUGGACAAUGGGGGCACCCUGAUCCAGCAAUGCCGCGUGUGUGAAGAAGGCCUGAGGGUUGUAAAGCACUUUCAGUAGUGAGGAAGUUUUGUUGUUUAAGAGAUGACAGGAUUGACGUUAGCUACAGAAGCAGCACCGGCUAACUCCGUGCCAGCAGCCGCGGUAAUACGGAGGGUGCAAGCGUUAAUCGGAAUUACUGGGCGUAAAGGGCGCGUAGGUUGUUGAGUAAGUUGGCUGUGAAAGCCCC
Molecule: ribosomal RNA, 275 nt
Filed under: uncultured bacterium
Lineage: Bacteria
Description: partial 16S ribosomal RNA
Rfam family: Bacterial small subunit ribosomal RNA
Source: RNAcentral